GAAACCAACCGGGAUUGCCUUAGUAACGGCGAGUGAAGCGGCAAAAGCUCAAAUUUGAAAUCUGGUACCUUCGGUGCCCGAGUUGUAAUUUGGAGAGGGCAACUUUGGGGCCGUUCCUUGUCUAUGUUCCUUGGAACAGGACGUCAUAGAGGGUGAGAAUCCCGUGUGGCGAGGAGUGCGGUUCUUUGUAAAGUGCCUUCGAAGAGUCGAGUUGUUUGGGAAUGCAGCUCUAAGUGGGUGGUAAAUUCCAUCUAAAGCUAAAUAUUGGCGAGAGACCGAUAGCGAACAAGUACAGUGAUGGAAAGAUGAAAAGAACUUUGAAAAGAGAGUGAAAAAGUACGUGAAAUUGUUGAAAGGGAAGGGCAUUUGAUCAGACAUGGUGUUUUGUGCCCUCUGCUCCUUGUGGGUAGGGGAAUCUCGCAUUUCACUGGGCCAGCAUCAGUUUUGGUGGCAGGAUAAAUCCAUAGGAAUGUAGCUUGCCUCGGUAAGUAUUAUAGCCUGUGGGAAUACUGCCAGCUGGGACUGAGGACUGCGACGUAAGUCAAGGAUGC
This 551-nucleotide ribosomal RNA is filed under the name Saccharomyces cerevisiae (brewer's yeast). Its description in RNAcentral is "eukaryotic LSU rRNA". It matches the Rfam family "Eukaryotic large subunit ribosomal RNA", at positions 61 to 626 of the family's 3401-position model. The record is from RNAcentral. Lineage: Eukaryota; Fungi; Ascomycota; Saccharomycetes; Saccharomycetales; Saccharomycetaceae.